RNAcentral lists this ribosomal RNA (253 nucleotides) under uncultured bacterium. RNAcentral describes it as "partial 16S ribosomal RNA". It matches the Rfam family "Bacterial small subunit ribosomal RNA", at positions 524 to 776 of the family's 1533-position model. The record is from RNAcentral.
GACGGAGGAUGCAAGCGUUAUCCGGAAUGAUUGGGCGUAAAGCGUCCGCAGGUGGCAGUUCAAGUCUGCUGUCAAAGACCGGGGCUUAACUUCGGAAAGGCAGUGGAAACUGAACAGCUAGAGUAUGGUAGGGGCAGAGGGAAUUCCUGGUGUAGCGGUGAAAUGCGUAGAGAUCUGGAGGAACACCGAUGGCGAAGGCAGCCUUCUGGGCCAACACUGACGCUCAUGCACGAAAGCGUGGGGAGCAAACAGG